RNAcentral lists this transfer RNA (115 nucleotides) under Lentinula lateritia. RNAcentral's name for it is "tRNA-Leu". It matches the Rfam family "tRNA". From Rfam's summary of the family: Transfer RNA (tRNA) molecules are approximately 80 nucleotides in length. Their secondary structure includes four short double-helical elements and three loops (D, anti-codon, and T loops). Further hydrogen bonds mediate the characteristic L-shaped molecular structure. tRNAs have two regions of fundamental functional importance: the anti-codon, which is responsible for specific mRNA codon recognition, and the 3' end, to which the tRNAs corresponding amino acid is attached (by aminoacyl-tRNA synthetases). tRNAs cope with the degeneracy of the genetic code in two manners: having more than one tRNA (with a specific anti-codon) for a particular amino acid; and 'wobble' base-pairing, i.e. permitting non-standard base-pairing at the 3rd anti-codon position. The record is from RNAcentral. Lineage: Eukaryota; Fungi; Basidiomycota; Agaricomycetes; Agaricales; Omphalotaceae.
GGUGAGAUGGCCGAGCGGUCUAAGGCGCCAGACUAAGGAGACCAACGUAUAUUGAUACGUGAACCACAUACAAUCUGGUCACAUUGUGGCGUGGGUUCGAAUCCCACUCUCAUCA